RNAcentral lists this ribosomal RNA (553 nucleotides) under uncultured bacterium. Its description in RNAcentral is "bacterial SSU rRNA". It matches the Rfam family "Bacterial small subunit ribosomal RNA", at positions 774 to 1331 of the family's 1533-position model. The record is from RNAcentral.
AGCGAAUAGAUACCCUGGUAGUCCACGCCCUAAACGAUGUCAACUGGGUGUUGGGGAAGCGAUUCCUUGGUACCGUAGCUAAACGCGUGAAGUUGACCGCCUGGGGAGUACGGCCGCAAGGUUAAAACUCAAAGGAAUUGACGGGGACCCGCACAAGCGGUGGAUGAUGUGGAUUAAUUCGAUGCAACGCGAACAACCUUACCUACCCUUGACAUGUUCCGGAGCCUGGUGAGAGCUGGGUGUGCCCGAAAGGGAACGGAAACACAGGUGCUGCAUGGCUGUCGUCAGCUCGUGUCGUGAGAUGUUGGGUUAAGUCCCGCAACGAGCGCAACCCUUGUCCCUAGUUGCUACGCAAGGGCACUCUAGGGAGACUGCCGGUGACAAACCGGAGGAAGGUGGGGAUGACGUCAAGUCCCCAUGGCCCUUAUGGGUAGGGCUUCACACGUCAUACAAUGGACGGUACAGAGGUAGCCAACCCGCGAGGGGAGGCCAAUCCCAGAAAGCCGUUCGUAGUCCGGAUUGCAGUCUGCAACUCGACUGCAUGAAGUCGGAA